UCCCUCUCCUCAGUCUU
RNAcentral lists this microRNA (17 nucleotides) under Corchorus capsularis. RNAcentral's name for it is "sRNA CCACVL1_29277". Lineage: Eukaryota; Viridiplantae; Streptophyta; Magnoliopsida; Malvales; Malvaceae. The record is from RNAcentral.